GAUGAACGCUGGCGGCGUGCCUAAUACAUGCAAGUCGAGCGAACAGACGAGGAGCUUGCUCCUCUGACGUUAGCGGCGGACGGGUGAGUAACACGUGGAUAACCUACCUAUAAGACUGGGAUAACUUCGGGAAACCGGAGCUAAUACCGGAUAAUAUAUUGAACCGCAUGGUUCAAUAGUGAAAGACGGUUUUGCUGUCACUUAUAGAUGGUUCCGCGCCGCAUUAGCUAGUUGGUAAGGUAACGGCCUACCAAGGCAACGAUGCGUAGCCGACCUGAGAGGGUGAUCGGCCACACUGGAACUGAGACACGGUCCAGACUCCUACGGGAGGCAGCAGUAGGGAAUCUUCCACAAUGGGCGAAAGCUUGACGGAGCAACGCCGCGUGAGUGAUGAAGGUCUUCGGAUCGUAAAACUCUGUUAUUAGGGAAGAACAAAUGUGUAAGUAACUAUGCACGUCUUGACGGUACCUAAUCAGAAAGCCACGGCUAACUACGUG
RNAcentral lists this ribosomal RNA (497 nucleotides) under uncultured bacterium. RNAcentral describes it as "partial 16S ribosomal RNA". It matches the Rfam family "Bacterial small subunit ribosomal RNA", at positions 28 to 507 of the family's 1533-position model. The record is from RNAcentral.